CACUGGUUCCGUCUCUCUCUCUCUUCCCCCGAUUGCCAUUCCGAUUCCGUCGAUAGAGCUGCAGCAAUCUCUGUAGGGGAUUGGCUUCGCCGCAUUGCGCUCCUGCCUGAUGGAUCUCGCUCCCCGUCUGGCGAUUCGCACCGGCGCGCUCCAGCCUGCGAUCUGUAAGUGUUCCCCCGAUCUCGCGCCUUUCCUUGUUUUUUUUUUUUCCUUUUGUAUCCUCGUUUGAGGAUUGUCGCAUGAGGAAUUCAAUCUCUCACCGCCGUUAGAAUUCGCCAACGGCUUGUAGAAUUUCGGUGGAAUUCCGUGCUCGGUUCUUGAGUCGCUGCCUCUCUACGUUUUUAUUUUUGUUUUUGUUUUUGUUUCUUUAUUCGGCCCUCUAAAAAAUUGCCGUCGCCCUUGUCGCUGCCCCUCUGCUGUGAGUGCUUGUGUGUGGGAGAUUAUAUGAGGUUCCACGGUGUCGGUGCAUUUGUGUCGACUGGCAUGCUCUAUGACUUGCUUAACAAAAACAACUCCUUGUCCUUUUUUUCUGUACUUAGUGGUGACACUAUCUUCUCAUUGAGGGUGAAAAAUUCCAUUCAAUGAACUGAAAAUAUGAACUUGUGAGGAGAGAGACACAAACGGCGUGAGACUAGGUGCUGCUUGCCGUCUAGGCAGUUCUUAGUUAGGUCACUACUGCCAUGCUUGUGAAAUACUUGAUUGCUGAUUCCAAGUCACUCGACAUUGAGGAUGGUCUUGAUGGAUUAUGAACAACUUAGAGAAUUUAUCUGGAAUGGUGUCUCUACCAUUUUUCCUUGAUGUGGUUUCUAUGAAACUAAGAUUUGCAAGUUAAAUCUUUUCCACUAGCAACGAGGGAGUCCAUUGAGCUAUGGUAUUCUUUGGCAUUGGUAAAUCUUUUCUUGCUAUACAUACUGGCAUUUGCAUCAGAAAGAUUACUGUAAAUGAUUAUUUUUUAACGAUUGCCUGGUUGAGAAGGGCAAUCUUUGCAAAUCUUGUACAUUCCCUCUUCCAUGUUGCGUCAUACUAACAUUUUCCUUCUUAAUACUCUUUCACAAGCUUCAGCUAUGACUGAGUUUAGAUAUCAAUGUCUUUAAUCGGUCAUUCAAUGGAGAUUAUACUAUAUUUACUUAAUCUACAGUGUUAAUCUGAAUACUAACUUCGAGCUUCCAGCAUAGGAAUGUUAUUUAAUAUUUAUAUUGCCUACUAUUGCCUUCCAUUGCCUUCCAUUUCUUAUAUAAACUGUGAUUUAGAAAGUGAUAUUAUUUUUGUCCUAUGUAACCAAAGGAUGAAUCUGCCCACUGCAGCUUAGGAUUUACGAGAAGGAUGGGAAGGCCACUUCCGGUUGGAAAUCAUCAGCAAUAACAAAAUAUGUAGUGGAAUGACACACCAAAAGUUCUCUAUGUACUCCAUGUUCACAUUGUCAGAAACAUAGACUAUUUUGUGAAAUUUGCAGCUUGUCCAUCCCUCUUUUAAUGAGUUUAUCAAUUUUCAAAUAUGUUGCUGCUGUUUCCGUUGUUCCUGUUCUGUCGAUUUAGGAAUUAAAAAAAAAAAGGUUCUUAUUG
Molecule: long non-coding RNA, 1562 nt
Filed under: Eucalyptus grandis
Lineage: Eukaryota; Viridiplantae; Streptophyta; Magnoliopsida; Myrtales; Myrtaceae
Description: long non-coding RNA (EGRA_LNC003146)
Source: RNAcentral